AAGCCUCGGGGUGUUACAUGUCAGACUGCAAAUCUGAAGACGGCCCUCGGCCCGGGGCUU
RNAcentral lists this transfer RNA (60 nucleotides) under Eunectes notaeus (yellow anaconda). RNAcentral describes it as "transfer RNA-Cys". The record is from RNAcentral. Lineage: Eukaryota; Metazoa; Chordata; Lepidosauria; Squamata; Boidae.